This 900-nucleotide small RNA is filed under the name Pongo abelii (Sumatran orangutan). RNAcentral's name for it is "processed transcript". Lineage: Eukaryota; Metazoa; Chordata; Mammalia; Primates; Hominidae. The record is from RNAcentral.
AGGGUCUUACUCUUACGAUUCAUUAGGCUUAACUAUAGCACUGCUCAGUCUGUGGCUUAUUAUUUCUCAUCAUGGGGGCAAAACCUUUUUGAGUGCACUACUCAAUGCCCUGUGAAUUAAGAGUUUUCCCAUUUUGGCUGGUGGCAACAGGCAAUGUCUCCAGUGUUGACAACUCCGAUCCAAUAUCCGAGAAAUUGAGAAACUUUGUUUGAAAGUCCGAAAGGAUGACCUAGUACUUCUGAAGAGAAUGAUAGAUCCUGUUAAAGAAGAAGCAUCAGCAGCAACAGCAGAAUUUCUCCAACUCCAUUUGGAAUCUGUAGAAGAACUUAAGAAGCAAUUUAAUGAUGAAGAAACUUUGCUACAGCCUCCUUUGACCAGAUCCAUGACUGUUGGUGGAGCAUUUCAUACUACUGAAGCUGAAGCUAGUUCUCAGAGUUUGACUCAGAUAUAUGCCUUACCUGAAAUUCCUCAAGAUCAAAAUGCUGCAGAAUCGUGGGAAACCUUAGAAGCGGUAUGUUAAAAAAUAUUUUCUUUUUGGUAGUUGUGAGGCGUAGAAGUAACUUCCUCUCCCUUUCUUUUAAAGGACUUAAUUGAACUUAGCCAACUGGUCACUGACUUCUCUCUCCUAGUGAAUUCUCAGCAGGAGAAGAUUGACAGCAUUGCAGACCAUGUCAACAGUGCUGCUGUGAAUGUUGAAGAGGGAACCAAAAACUUGGGGAAGGCUGCAAAAUACAAGCUGGCAGCUCUGCCUGUGGCAGGUGCACUCAUCGGAGGAAUGGUAGGGGGUCCUAUUGGCCUCCUUGCAGGCUUCAAAGUGGCAGGAAUUGCAGCUGCACUUGGUGGUGGGGUGUUGGGCUUCACAGGUGGAAAACUGAUACAAAGAAAGAAACAGAAAAUGAU